RNAcentral lists this ribosomal RNA (253 nucleotides) under uncultured prokaryote. Its description in RNAcentral is "partial 16S ribosomal RNA". It matches the Rfam family "Bacterial small subunit ribosomal RNA", at positions 525 to 777 of the family's 1533-position model. The record is from RNAcentral.
ACGAACCGUCCAAACGUUAUUCGGAAUCACUGGGCUUACAGAGUUCGUAGGCGGUCUGGAAAGUUGGGUGUGAAAUCCCUCGGCUCAACCGAGGAACUGCGCUUGAAACUACCAGACUCGAGGGAGAUAGAGGAAAGCGGAACUGAUGGUGGAGCGGUGAAAUGCGUUGAUAUCAUCAGGAACACCGGUGGCGAAGGCGGCUUUCUGGGUCUUACCUGACGCUGAGGAACGAAAGCCAGGGGAGCGAACGGGA